GCAAGUCGAACGAUGACGACAGGGCUUGCCUUAUCUGAUUAGUGUCGAACGGGUGAGUAACACGGGAGUAACCUGCCCCCCUCUUCGGGAUAACCUCGGGAAAUCGGGGCUAAUACUGGAUAUGACUUCGCACCGCAUGGUGUGUUGUGGAAAGUUUUUCGGUGGGGGAUGGGCUCGCGGCCUAUCAGUUUGUUGGUGAGGUAAUGGCUCACCAAGGCGAUGACGGGUAGCCGGCCUGAGAGGGUGAGC
Molecule: ribosomal RNA, 249 nt
Filed under: uncultured bacterium
Lineage: Bacteria
Description: partial 16S ribosomal RNA
Rfam family: Bacterial small subunit ribosomal RNA
Source: RNAcentral